This 496-nucleotide ribosomal RNA is filed under the name uncultured bacterium. RNAcentral's name for it is "partial 16S ribosomal RNA". It matches the Rfam family "Bacterial small subunit ribosomal RNA", at positions 28 to 507 of the family's 1533-position model. The record is from RNAcentral.
GAUGAACGCUGGCGGCGUGCCUAAUACAUGCAAGUCGAGCGAACAGACGAGGAGCUUGCUCCCUGCCCGUUGGGGGAGACGGGGGGUUAAACAUGUGUAAACCUACCUUUAAUAUUGGGUAAAUUUCGGGAAACCGGGCUCAAAUCCGGUAAAAUUUUUUGACCCCCUGGGUCCAUUGGUAAAUUCCGGUUUUCUGGCACUUAUUGGUGGAUUCGCGCCGCAUUAGCUAGUUGGUGAGGUAACGGCUUACCAAGGCAGCGAUGCGUAGCCGACCUGAGAGGGUGAUCGGCCACACUGGAACUGAGACACGGUCCAGACUCCUACGGGAGGCAGCAGUAGGGAAUCUUCCGCAAUGGGCGAAAGCCUGACGGAGCAACGCCGCGUGAGUGAUGAAGGUCUUCGGAUCGUAAAACUCUGUUAUUAGGGAAGAACAAAUGUGUAAGUAACUAUGCACGUCUUGACGGUACCUAAUCAGAAAGCCACGGCUAACUACGUG